CAGCAUUUCCUCCUAUCAAGAGUUUUGGCUAAUAGAGAGCUUUUCCGCCGCGGCUAGUAUAAUUUAUUUCCAAGUCUGUUGGUCCGGUGCGGAUUGGUUGCUUUCCUUCUAUGAGACCUGAAAAGCUCACAAGACAUAUCUGUAAUGUAAACCUGACACCAUGAAUAAUUGUCGCCACGAACGAAAUAUGGUCAUGAAUAAAGAUGCACUAGUGUUUUGUUACGUAUGAUUAUCAUGAAUUUUAGGGUGAGAGCUUUACCAUGGAUUUUUUUUUUAAACGGGUGAGGUCACUACCUGUUACAAAAUUAACAUGGUCUAAGAUUAAUUUUAAUCACACUGUAUAUAAUACAUAAAAAAUACAGACCUACUAGCAUAUAACAAAACCGUUGCUAGGACUCUAGAUAUUGAUUAAACCAUGACAAUUAAUGCAUAGAAGAUAAACGAACAGCAGAUUAAAAAGUGAAAGAAUCUUAGAGACGUACCGCAAAAAAGUGAUACAUAGAGAGAAUUAGUGAAAACCGCUGCGCACAGUGUCAGUAUCGCCAUGCGACCGUGUCCGAGCAUCUCGCUGCGCCACGCGUCUCCGCCGACCGGAGGCCGGCAUGGUGUGCGUGGGCCCGCUGCGACGUGGACACCAGUAUACUUACAUACUGUAGCUUAGAAAGUAAAGUAUCCGGGACGCGAUUCCGCACGUGCGUAUAAACAUGGGAAGCUUCCCGGUCGUCCCCUCGCGCUCUCUGGCACUUUGAUUUCCCCUUUGUCGCCGGUCGGCUUAUCUAAUUAAUCGAAGGGUACAGUAUGAUUUGGGUUAAGUACAGACAGCUAGCCAGCUGCGUGCUUCAGUUUGGACAAAUAAUUUUUGGCUUCGGCGACGUCGUACGCUAGCGUGGACGGCAAUAUAUAUCACGGGGCUAAUGAUUCCGGGUGGGGUGUCCCUAACCACUUCGAGAUAGGAGGAAUCUUUUGGCUCGGCAAUCACGCGACGGGUUCUUCAGCCUAAUCGUUCUACUGUUGUGACAGGGUUUAUUAUAUGUCGUGCAAAAAGUCUAAACACGUGCAGAAAUUUUGAAGAUUUUAGUACUCCCUUCUUCCAAAAUAAAAUUUGUUUUAAUUAAUUAACAUGUUCAUCCAAUAAUUGAUGUAUAUAAUUUAUAUAUAUAUAUGUUUAGAUUUAUCUUCAUCCAUUUAAAUAUAAACAUAAAGAGUAAAAAGUAAAACGACUAAUAUUUAGGAUAGAGGGAAUACAAGACAAUUGAAACAGUCCAAAGAGCAUGUGAUGAUGGAAGUGGAACAAUGUACCCGUUAAAUUUGUUUUUUUUUAAAACAUCGUAUAGAGAAGAGCUCACCUCUACGUUGCUCUAAAUCGCAGUUGCAUGUCUCUAGCAGCACUUUAAAUUCCAUAUGUUUUCAUUUGGUUAUUCACUUCCUAAUACUCUCUAACAACUAGUCAAAACUCUCCUUCCAUAUCCUAUUGACCUAUACUUUUUCUAGUGUUCAAACUUAAAAAAAAAAGCAUGCAUGUCCUUCAUUUUCUAAAAGUAACACAUGUCCUAGACUAGAGUCCAGAUAAUUUAGAAAACAAUUAGAUUUGAGGAAUUUAAUUUUAAACAUGCAAGAGAUUUUGAGUUAAUCAAAUUAAAGUAUAUUCUUCCUUGUGAUUUUAUGAUCUUGAUAAUGUCAUCUUUUGGAUUUAAGAAAGUAGAGGAAAGAAAUGAUUUUUUGAAGCAGGGCAUAGGUUUAGGCAAAAUAUCACUUAAACCAAUUAACCAACCAAAACCAAACCGAUUUAACCGAAAAAUGGUGGCAGCCAAAAUAUCCACGUUGUAUCUGCAAUCCGACUCUCGCACUAUUUGGUUUUGAGGUUGUUGUUAAUCGAUUUAGACCAGAUCUCCCAAUGAUUAUCAUAGUAGACAUGAAGGCAUUUGAAUGCUUAAAUGUAAGUAUUAUUUGUUUCUUUUCCUUUUGUUUUAUUGCAAUAUGCAUUUCUUGUUUGGUGCUUUUCCAUACAAUUUUUGUUGUUGCAAUGUUAUCCUUUGUACAAGCAUCACGCAAUGAGUACGGAAUAUAAUGCAACAAGUACAAGAGACAAUGUAAAACCAAAAUUGUGGUUGUCUGAUUAAUUGUACCAAUUUAAUAAAACUGGUUUUGAUCCAUCUUUGGUUUUGUGACAAUAAAUUCAAUUAGUAUAGUAGAGUAACUAAUUAAGAUAAGCUCACAAUAAAGGAUAAAACAGUCGGGCCUUUUUCGCUUUAGGCCAUAUUUAGAACUCAUAGAGCUAAUAAUUAGCUAGCUAACAAAUUAUUAGUUAGGUUAAGCUAGCUAAUGAAAUGAUUGUUAGUUGUGAGUUAGCUAACCAUUAGCUAGAUUAUUAGCUGGGGUGUUUGAAACCUCUACAUAUAACUUUAGCAGAUACCUAUUAACUCUAAAGUUUUCAAAUAGAGUCUCCGUAAAAAACUCUUGAAGAUGGAGUCUUAAACAAUUCCUUGAGUGCACGCACUAGAGAAGUGAAAUGAUUAUGCUAUUACCUUACGCACUAACUAACCACAUCUACACUUUGUUGCUAGUCUUAACUAAUAAUGUGCUAGCACAGUAAAAAGGUUUAUUCAGGACAAAGCUAGCCAAAUAAAAAUAAAGACUGACCUCUAGCUUAAAGGACACUUACUGCUUCUAUCAUGUUGCAGUUGUCCGGUGUACAUACAUUAAUCUAAAGCCGGACAAGGAAAAACAAUGGCGGGUGCCACAUGCGUGAUAUGACUUUUAUUAGCAAACUACGUAGGUGCCCGUGCGUUGCAACGGCAUCCAAUCAGGCAUAUAUUAAUCUUUCAAUUAUUCAUACUUGCCACAGAAGUUAAAAAAUAGUGUAAAACAUAGAUAUGAAAUAACAAAUAUCAAUAUGAUAUGUAAAAUCUGUGUGACAAUAUAAAUAUAUAAUAUUAUUAUAAAUAUGUCAACUCAAAUAAAAUCAACUGAUGUCGAACAAACAUUACAAUAUCGUAUAUAUUAUUUCUAAAGAAUCAACAUAGAAUUACAGGAACAUAUAAUAUCAUGGUAAUUUAUGUAUACGGAGUACAAUUCCAACUUUCUAAAGCUUAUGUGGUGCUUCAAGGUGUCAGUCGAAGGGUGGUCCCUCUUGAGAGUGACAUUAAGUUGCUCAAGCAAACCAGUUGUGGUGAGCAAUGGUGCCGCUAGGAGAGAUUCAACCUACUCGUCAUUGAUGAGGCAUCGUCUUCCCACAUUUGCAUAUGAGAUUUCUAAACACCAACCUGCAAGGCGCCAGGGACAAACAAUUAUAAUCAGGUAAACCAGGUCAUGAAUAAAGCUUUUCUGCCGCGGCUAGUAUAAUUUAUUUCCAAGUUUGUUGGUCCGGUGCGGAUUGGUUGCUUUCCUUCUGAGACCUGAAAAGCUCACAAGACAUGUCUGUAAACCUGACAUCGUGAAUAAUUGUCUCCACGAACGAAAUAUGGUCAUGAAUAAAGCUGCACAAGUGUUUUGUUACGUAUGAUUAUCAUGAA
Molecule: long non-coding RNA, 3512 nt
Filed under: Zea mays
Lineage: Eukaryota; Viridiplantae; Streptophyta; Magnoliopsida; Poales; Poaceae
Description: long non-coding RNA (ZMAY_LNC000625)
Source: RNAcentral